AGAGUUUGAUCAUGGCUCAGAUUGAACGCUGGCGGCAGGCCUAACACAUGCAAGUCGAACGGUAACAGGAAACAGCUUGCUGUUUCGCUGACGAGUGGCGGACGGGUGAGUAAUGUCUGGGAAACUGCCUGAUGGAGGGGGAUAACUACUGGAAACGGUAGCUAAUACCGCAUAACGUCGCAAGACCAAAGAGGGGGACCUUCGGGCCUCUUGCCAUCAGAUGUGCCCAGAUGGGAUUAGCUAGUAGGUGGGGUAACGGCUCACCUAGGCGACGAUCCCUAGCUGGUCUGAGAGGAUGACCAGCCACACUGGAACUGAGACACGGUCCAGACUCCUACGGGAGGCAGCAGUGGGGAAUAUUGCACAAUGGGCGCAAGCCUGAUGCAGCCAUGCCGCGUGUACGAAGAAGGCCUUCGGGUUGUAAAGUACUUUCAGCGGGGAGGAAGGGAGUAAAGUUAAUACCUUUGCUCAUUGACGUUACCCGCAGAAGAAGCACCGGCUAACUCCGUGCCAGCAGCCGCGGUAAUACGGAGGGUGCAAGCGUUAAUCGGAAUUACUGGGCGUAAAGCGCACGCAGGCGGUUUGUUAAGUCAGAUGUGAAAUCCCCGGGCUCAACCUGGGAACUGCAUCUGAUACUGGCAAGCUUGAGUCUCGUAGAGGGGGGUAGAAUUCCAGUGUAGCGGUGAAAUGCGUAGAGAUCUGGAGGAAUACCGGUGGCGAAGGCGGCCCCCUGGACGAAGACUGACGCUCAGGUGCGAAAGCGUGGGGAGCAAACAGGAUUAGAUACCCUGGUAGUCCACGCCGUAAACGAUGUCGACUUGGAGGUUGUGCCCUUGAGGCGUGGCUUCCGGAGCUAACGCGUUAAGUCGACCGCCUGGGGAGUACGGCCGCAAGGUUAAAACUCAAAUGAAUUGACGGGGGCCCGCACAAGCGGUGGAGCAUGUGGUUUAAUUCGAUGCAACGCGAAGAACCUUACCUGGUCUUGACAUCCACGGAAGUUUUCAGAGAUGAGAAUGUGCCUUCGGGAACCGUGAGACAGGUGCUGCAUGGCUGUCGUCAGCUCGUGUUGUGAAAUGUUGGGUUAAGUCCCGCAACGAGCGCAACCCUUAUCCUUUGUUGCCAGCGGUCCGGCCGGGAACUCAAAGGAGACUGCCAGUGAUAAACUGGAGGAAGGUGGGGAUGACGUCAAGUCAUCAUGGCCCUUACGACCAGGGCUACACACGUGCUACAAUGGCGCAUACAAAGAGAAGCGACCUCGCGAGAGCAAGCGGACCUCAUAAAGUGCGUCGUAGUCCGGAUUGGAGUCUGCAACUCGACUCCAUGAAGUCGGAAUCGCUAGUAAUCGUGGAUCAGAAUGCCACGGUGAAUACGUUCCCGGGCCUUGUACACACCGCCCGUCACACCAUGGGAGUGGGUUGCAAAAGAAGUAGGUAGCUUAACCUUCGGGAGGGCGCUUACCACUUUGUGAUUCAUGACUGGGGUGAAGUCGUAACAAGGUAACCGUAGGGGAACCUGCGGUUG
This 1521-nucleotide ribosomal RNA is filed under the name metagenome. RNAcentral's name for it is "bacterial SSU rRNA". It matches the Rfam family "Bacterial small subunit ribosomal RNA". The record is from RNAcentral.